RNAcentral lists this ribosomal RNA (409 nucleotides) under Ixodes hearlei. RNAcentral describes it as "partial large subunit ribosomal RNA". The record is from RNAcentral. Lineage: Eukaryota; Metazoa; Arthropoda; Arachnida; Ixodida; Ixodidae.
UUUUUAAAUUGCUGUGGUAUAUUGACUAUACGAAGGUAUUGAAAUAAGGCUUUAAAUGGGUGCUAAGAGAAUGGUUAAACAAUUAUAAGCUUUCUUUAAUUAAAUAAUUUGAAGUUAAUUUUUUUGUGAAGAAGCAAAAAUGUUAAUUAGGGACAAGAAGACCCUAUGAAUUUUAUUCUUUAAUAAUAAUAAAUUUGUUUUAUUAAAGAUUAAUUGGGGCGAUUAAUAAAGAAUGAAUAUCUUUUUUUUAUAAUUAAAUUGAUCCGUUUCUAACGAUUAUAUGAGAAAAAAUACUCUAGGGAUAACAGCGUAAUAAUUUUGGAUAGUUCAUAUAGAUAAAAUAGUUUGCGACCUCGAUGUUGGAUUAGGAUUCUUUUUUGGUGAAGAAAUUAAUAAGAAGAAGUUGUCA